UUGAAGGCUAGUUCUACUUCAGAACCACAGAGACAUGAGCACCAGCAAGUUUGUGGUUGGAUAAGGAUCUUCAGAACUCCAGAUGGUCAAGCACUGCUUCGUCCCUUCUUCAAUGGCAUCUCUAGCAUGAAGAGGCACAACACAGUCCAUGCCUUCGCCUCGUCUGGCCAACUCUAAUCAUGAAUCUCCUGUGAAUCAGCUGGGAAACAUGCAGAAUAUGAGAUUGGGGCCCUCAUUCAUACUAACUGGAAUUUUCCUUGGCAAUGGUAGAACAGAAGCUUCUCCAUUCUGUAGAGAUGAAUUUGCUUUAAGUAAGAUCUUCCCAGAGUACAAAAGAAAUUUAUUCUGAAAAUUUCAAACUAAUAUCUUUUGCAAGGUGAGCUACACCUCUGAGAGAAGCUCCUGGAAAUUACCAGAGAUACUUAAUGUUGCCAGCUGUUACAGAUGGAGAUGAUGCACCUUGAUGAUGAAUAAGUACUGAGCCUGAAUCCUACAAAUGGGAAAAGGUGCUCAUAUCAGACUUAUGCAUUAGAUAUCAAACUACAAAAUACAAGUGCAGUUGAUACCUGUUUAGAUGAUGUAGAGCAAGGUAACAGUAUGUAUUAAAAGCAAAAAUUCCCAUGAAGCUGAACCGUUAACUCUCUGCCAAAACCUCCCACUCUCAAGUUUUAAGAGCCAAUAAACCUUGUAUCUGUA
Long non-coding RNA from Gorilla gorilla gorilla (western lowland gorilla), 696 nucleotides. RefSeq lists it as uncharacterized. Lineage: Eukaryota; Metazoa; Chordata; Mammalia; Primates; Hominidae. The transcript has 4 exons. The record is from RefSeq and is a predicted model, not a curated record.